AAAAAAUUAGUUUAUUUAAAAACAUUUAGUUGCAAACUAAAAAAAAAUAUUUUUUU
Molecule: transfer RNA, 56 nt
Filed under: Planorbis planorbis
Lineage: Eukaryota; Metazoa; Mollusca; Gastropoda; Planorbidae
Also listed under: 1 other name
Description: tRNA-Cys
Source: RNAcentral